ACUCCUACGGGAGGCAGCAGUGGGGAAUAUUGCACAAUGGGCGCAAGCCUGAUGCAGCGACGCCGCGUGGGGGAUGAAGGCCUUCGGGUUGUAAACCCUUUCAGCAGGGAAGAAGCGCAAGUGACGGUACCUGCAGAAGAAGCGCCGGCUAACUACGUGCCAGCAGCCGCGGUAAUACGUAGGGCGCAAGCGUUGUCCGGAAUUAUUGGGCGUAAAGAGCUCGUAGGCGGUUUGUCGCGUCUGCUGUGAAAUCCCGAGGCUCAACCUCUGGGCCUGCAGUGGGUACGGGCAGACUAGAGUGUGGUAGGGGAGACUGGAAUUCCUGGUGUAGCGGUGGAAUGCGCAGAUAUCAGGAGGAACACCGAUGGCGAAGGCAGGUCUCUGGGCCACAACUGACGCUGAGGA
This 405-nucleotide ribosomal RNA is filed under the name uncultured bacterium. Its description in RNAcentral is "bacterial SSU rRNA". It matches the Rfam family "Bacterial small subunit ribosomal RNA", at positions 335 to 752 of the family's 1533-position model. The record is from RNAcentral.